AAGGAAGUGACAGAGUGGCUAUGUGGCUGGCUUGAAACCAGUAGAUGGGGGUUCAAUUCCUCCCUUCCUCG
RNAcentral lists this transfer RNA (71 nucleotides) under Triplophysa wuweiensis. RNAcentral describes it as "tRNA-Ser". It matches the Rfam family "tRNA". From Rfam's summary of the family: Transfer RNA (tRNA) molecules are approximately 80 nucleotides in length. Their secondary structure includes four short double-helical elements and three loops (D, anti-codon, and T loops). Further hydrogen bonds mediate the characteristic L-shaped molecular structure. tRNAs have two regions of fundamental functional importance: the anti-codon, which is responsible for specific mRNA codon recognition, and the 3' end, to which the tRNAs corresponding amino acid is attached (by aminoacyl-tRNA synthetases). tRNAs cope with the degeneracy of the genetic code in two manners: having more than one tRNA (with a specific anti-codon) for a particular amino acid; and 'wobble' base-pairing, i.e. permitting non-standard base-pairing at the 3rd anti-codon position. Lineage: Eukaryota; Metazoa; Chordata; Actinopteri; Cypriniformes; Nemacheilidae. The record is from RNAcentral.